Amphiprion ocellaris (clown anemonefish) is the source of this 891-nucleotide long non-coding RNA. RefSeq lists it as uncharacterized. Lineage: Eukaryota; Metazoa; Chordata; Actinopteri; Pomacentridae. The record is from RefSeq and is a predicted model, not a curated record. The transcript is spliced from 2 exons.
UCUAUGUUCUUCCUCCAAAACCAUUUUAUGAUUGGGAUUACAGGCAGUUCUUUAGGACUGCUCUCAAAUAAUUGAAAUGUUACUAAACAAGGUUAUACUUAUCAAAUUAAAUAGCUCUGGUCUCCAGUAUAUUGGCGAAUUUGGUUCUUUGUACUUAAUUUAUUAGCAUGAUUUCUUUUUAAUAUGUUGUGUACAGACUUAAUUACUUCUCUGUCUACUUUUCUUACUCCAUGUAGGUUUCCCAGAGACUAUGGGUUGAGGAGGAAUUGGAAGUUUGUCGGCUUAGACCUGGUGUCAUUCCAUCAGUGUUAAACUACCCGGCUCAUCUUAGAAGAGUACGUGCCAGAAAGACCACGACCAAGCAGCCUUGAGAUCUUAGGCAGCAUCUCCCUGAGGUCCCUCUCUAUCUCCCCACACAUCCACCAACCACUGGAACACAUCUCCAAAGUUCUGCCGGGCCAGCUCAGCUUCCCCUCAGAAGAAGUACCACCACCUGCCAGAUGAAGGAGCCUUUUGAGAGGCAGCUGGCAUCGUGAUUGGACUGUACUUUGGUCUGUUCCAAUCCAGCUUCAGCUCCAGAGACGGCAGGCGGGACGAGUCAACGGAGGCCGGGUGGAUGAAGGCAUGCAGCUGAGUACAAUCCAGAAAACAACAGAGGAGGAGUUCAGGGCCAGAACAAGCAGAGUAGCAUCGUAUGUCUCUUAGAAAACAUCAUAUUAUAGCCUUUGGUAUGAAAAAACACCAUCAUAUACAUCGUAUAUUGUACAAAUAACAAGUCAACGCAAAGAGACAUACAUUGUAGAAUUGUAGUAAUUGUGGGCUGACUGAUUUACUGAUUAUCAGUAUUUUAUUUUUUACUGAUUUACGGUAAUAAAUACAUUUAAAAAUGGC